Molecule: ribosomal RNA, 255 nt
Filed under: uncultured bacterium
Lineage: Bacteria
Description: partial 16S ribosomal RNA
Rfam family: Bacterial small subunit ribosomal RNA
Source: RNAcentral
UACGUAGGGUGCGAGCGUUGUCCGGAAUUACUGGGCGUAAAGAGCUCGUAGGUGGUUUGUCGCGUUGUUCGUGAAAACUCACAGCUUAACUGUGGGCGUGCGGGCGAUACGGGCAGACUGGAGUACUGCAGGGGAGACUGGGAAUUCCUGUGUAGCGGUGGAAUGCGCAGAUAUCAGGAGGAACACCGGUGGCGAAGGCGGGUCUCUGGGCAGUAACUGACGCUGAGGAGCGAAAAGCGUGGGGGAGCGAACAGG